GAUGAAGAACGCAGCGAAAUGCGAUACUUGGUGUGAAUUGCAGAAUCCCGUGAACCAUCGAGUCUUUGAACGCAAGUUGCGCCCGAAGCCUCGGCUAAGGGCACGUCUGCCUGGGCGUCACGCAUCGCGUCUCCCCCAAACCGCCAAGGCGGUGGGGAAGGAAGAUGGCUUCCCGUGCCUCACCCGGGCGCGGUUGGCCUAAAUUUGGAGCCCGCGGCACUUAGCUCUCGCGGCGAUAGGUGGUGAACAAGGCCUUGGCCGUGCAAACAACCCGCUGCGAAGCUCUAUGUCACGUGCGCUCGUCGGACCCUUUGAAGUUGCCUUUGGUGACUUAAAACCUUUGCGACCCCAGGUCAGGCGGGGCUACCCGCUGAAUUUAAGCAUAUCAAUAAGCGGAGGA
RNAcentral lists this unclassified non-coding RNA (400 nucleotides) under soil metagenome. RNAcentral describes it as "partial contains 5.8S ribosomal RNA, internal transcribed spacer 2, and large subunit ribosomal RNA". The stretch from base 1 to 120 matches the Rfam family "5.8S ribosomal RNA", at positions 35 to 154 of the family's 154-position model. The record is from RNAcentral.